This 1824-nucleotide ribosomal RNA is filed under the name Triticum aestivum (bread wheat). RNAcentral's name for it is "partial small subunit ribosomal RNA". The record is from RNAcentral. Lineage: Eukaryota; Viridiplantae; Streptophyta; Magnoliopsida; Poales; Poaceae.
AUGUCGAAGAUAGCUGCUGAGUAUGGAAUGGAUGUCUUUGCUUAUCAGAGAAUGUUCAAGAAGUGCAUGCUGAACCCCACGUUCAUUGCAGCCAUUGAGCGCGUGAACGAUGACGGUUCUGAAUUCGGAAGGCUCAUGGAUCAGCUGAUGCGGCAAGCAAUCAUGAAUUAUUUCGCCGAGCAGGGCAUGGACAGGUCAUUCUCCACGUCUGGAUAUGCUGGUGGUGGACGAGCCGAUGCUAGCCGUACUAGCAGUGUGCCACCGUCGGACAGUAAUGGCCAAGAUGGUGAGAACUUCUCCCUGAUGUCGGCCGUGCAGCAGGCCCUUGCUGCUGGUGGUGCGAGCAGUGGACAGCCUAACGCAGCUCAGCUGGACAGUGUGGUCUCCUGGAUUAACAGCCCGCGUGGAGCCGCUUUUGCGUCGGUGGGAGCCGCUAGAUUAGGAGUGGAUCUUGUUGCUAUUGAGAGAACAUGGAAUAAGUGCUGGCUGAACCCUGAGAACACCGAGAUAAUUGCUGCCAUACAUAGCGCGUUGCAGAACGAUGACGAUUCUGAAUUCAACCGGCUGCUCGCGCAGCUGAUGCGGCAAGAAAGCAUGAUUUACUUCGUGGAGCAAUACAUGGACGGGCCAUCCUCCAGGCUGCCACCGAAGCUCGACACCAACAGCAUUGCACUCACGUGGCUCGACACCCUGAAUGGAGCCACUUUUAUAUCGAAGGGAGCCACUACAUUUGGAAUGGAUCCUGAUGCUUUUGAAAGAAUAGCGAAGAAGUGCAUACAAAACAGUGAUUUGAUUGCAGUCAUCGAAAGUGCAGAGCAGAACAAUGACGAUUCUGAAUUGAACCAGGAUUUGUUGCAGCUAAUGUUGCCAGGAAUCGAGAGUUACUUCGCGGAGCAGGACAUGGAUGGACCAUCCUCCAGGCCACCACCUAAGUUGCACACUCAGCUCGACACCGACGGCAUUGCACUCUCGUGGCUCAACACCCUAGAUGGAGACGCUUUUAUAUCGAAGGGAUCCGCUACAUUUGGAAUGGAUCCCGAUGCUUUUGAAAGAGUGGCGAAGAAGUGCAUACAAAACCCUGAUUUUAUUGCAGUCAUCGACAACGUGGAGCAGAACGAUGAUGAUUCUGAACUGAACCAGGACCUGUUGCAGCUAAUGUUGCCAGGAAUCGAGAGUUACUUCGCGGAGCAGGACAUGGACGGACCAUCCUCCAGGCCACCACUUAAGCUCGACACCAACGGCAUUGCACUCUCCUGGCUCGACACCCUGGAUGGAGCCGCUUUUAUGUCGGAUGGAGCCGCUACGUCUGGAAUGGAUCCCGUUGCUUUUGAAAUAAUAGCCAAGAAGUGCAUACAAAACCCCAAUUUGCAUGCAAUCAUCGACAACGCGGAGCAGAACAAUGACCACUCUGAAUUGAAACAGGCCCUGGUGCAGUUGAUGGGGAUAGGAAUCGAGAAUUAUUUGGCGGAACAGGACAUGGACGGACCAUUCUCCAGGCCACCACCUAAGCUCGACACCGUCAGCCCUUUUCUCCUCUGGCGCAACACCACGGAUGCAACCGCUAAGUUUGGAAUGGAUCCCGCCGCUUUUGAGAGAAUAAUGAAGAAGUACGUGUUGAACCCCGAGUUGAUUGCAGCCAUAGACAGGGCGGUGCAGAACAAUGACGGUUCUGAAUUCCUCAGGCUCAUGGAUCAGCUGGCGGAGCCAGAAACCAUGAGUUAUUUCAAGGAGCAAUACAUGGGCGGUCCACCUAAGCGCGACACCCCUGGUGAUGUGCUCUCCUGGCUCAACAGCCCGGAUGGAGCCGAUUUUAUGUUGGAAUAA